Molecule: ribosomal RNA, 442 nt
Filed under: Cyanobacteriota bacterium 0007_181PIIRGII
Lineage: Bacteria; Bacillati; Cyanobacteriota
Description: bacterial SSU rRNA
Rfam family: Bacterial small subunit ribosomal RNA
Source: RNAcentral
CCUACGGGGGGCAGCAGUGGGGAAUUUUCCGCAAUGGGCGAAAGCCUGACGGAGCAAGACCGCGUGGGGGAUGAAGGUUUGUGGAUUGUAAACCCCUUUUGUCAGGGAAGAAUAACUGACGGUACCUGACGAAUAAGCCUCGGCUAACUCCGUGCCAGCAGCCGCGGUAAUACGGAGGAGGCAAGCGUUAUCCGGAAUUAUUGGGCGUAAAGCGUCCGUAGGUGGUUAUUCAAGUCUGUUGUUAAAGAGUGGGGCUUAACCUCAUAAAGGCAAUGGAAACUGAAGGACUUGAGUGCGGUAGGGGUAGAGGGAAUUCCCAGUGUAGCGGUGAAAUGCGUAGAUAUUGGGAAGAACACCGGUGGCGAAAGCGCUCUACUGGACCUGCACUGACACUGAGAGAUGAAAGUUAGGGGAGCGAAAAGGAUUAGAUACCCCAGUAGUC